RNAcentral lists this non-coding RNA (21 nucleotides) under Arabidopsis thaliana (thale cress). The record is from RNAcentral. Lineage: Eukaryota; Viridiplantae; Streptophyta; Magnoliopsida; Brassicales; Brassicaceae.
ACAGAAGUUGGUGAUUGACGG